This 1135-nucleotide ribosomal RNA is filed under the name Brevibacterium sp. RNAcentral describes it as "bacterial SSU rRNA". The record is from RNAcentral. Lineage: Bacteria; Bacillati; Actinomycetota; Actinomycetes; Micrococcales; Brevibacteriaceae.
ACGGCUGAAGCCCGCAGCUUGCUGUGGGUGGAUGAGUGGCGAACGGGUGAGUAACACGUGAGUAACCUGCCCCCGACUUCGGGAUAAGCCCGGGAAACUGGGUCUAAUACCGGAUAUGACMACCGAASGCAUCUUCGGUUGUGGAAAGUUUUUUCGGUUGGGGAUGGGCUCGCGGCCUAUCAGUUUGUUGGUGAGGUAAUGGCUCACCAAGACGACGACGGGUAGCCGGCCUGAGAGGGCGACCGGCCACACUGGGACUGAGACACGGCCCAGACUCCUACGGGAGGCAGCAGUGGGGAAUAUUGCACAAUGGGGGAAACCCUGAUGCAGCGACGCAGCGUGCGGGAUGACGGCCUUCGGGUUGUAAACCGCUUUCAGCAGGGAAGAAGCCCYUUGGGGUGACGGUACCUGCAGAAGAAGUACCGGCUAACUACGUGCCAGCAGCCGCGGUAAUACGUAGGGUACAAGCGUUGUCCGGAAUUAUUGGGCGUAAAGAGCUCGUAGGUGGUUGGUCACGUCUGCUGUGGAAACGCAACGCUUAACGUUGCGCGUGCAGUGGGUACGGGCUGACUAGAGUGCAGUAGGGGAGUCUGGAAUUCCUGGUGUAGCGGUGAAAUGCGCAGAUAUCAGGAGGAACACCGGUGGCGAAGGCGGGACUCUGGGCUGUAACUGACACUGAGGAGCGAAAGCAUGGGGAGCGAACAGGAUUAGAUACCCUGGUAGUCCAUGCCGUAAACGUUGGGCACUAGGUGUGGGGGACAUUCCACGUUCUCCGCGCCGUAGCUAACGCAUUAAGUGCCCCGCCUGGGGAGUACGGUCGCAAGGCUAAAACUCAAAGGAAUUGACGGGGGCCCGCACAAGCGGCGGAGCAUGCGGAUUAAUUCGAUGCAACGCGAAGAACCUUACCAAGGCUUGACAUACACCAGACCGUCCUGGAAACAGGUCCUCCUCUUUGAGGUUGGUGUACAGGUGGUGCAUGGUUGUCGUCAGCUCGUGUCSUGAGAUGUUGGGUUAAGUCCCGCAACGAGCGCAACCCUCGUUCAUGUUGCCAGCACGUGAUGGUGGGAACUCAUAGGARACUGCCGGGGUCACCUCGGAGGAAGGUGGGGAUGACGUCAAAUCAUCAUGCCCUUAU